GAUGAACGCUGGCGGCGUGCCUAAUACAUGCAAGUCGAGCGAACAGACGAGGAGCUUGCUCCUCUGGCGUUAGCGGCGGACGGGUGAGUAACACGUGGAUAACCUACCUAUAAGACUGGGAUAACUUCGGGAAACCGGAGCUAAUACCGGAUAAUAUAUUGAACCGCAUGGUUCAAUAGUGAAAGACGGUUUUGCUGUCACUUAUAGAUGGAUCCGCGCCGCAUUAGCUAGUUGGUAAGGUAACGGCUUACCAAGGCGACGAUGCGUAGCCGACCUGAGAGGGUGAUCGGCCACACUGGAACUGAGACACGGUCCAGACUCCUACGGGAGGCAGCAGUAGGGAAUCUUCCGCAAUGGGCGAAAGCUUGACGGAGCAACGCCGCGUGAGUGAUGAAGGUCUUCGGAUCGUAAAACUCUGUUAUUAGGGAAGAACAAAUGUGUAAGUAACUAUGCACGUCUUGACGGUACCUAAUCAGAAAGCCACGGCUAACUACGUG
Molecule: ribosomal RNA, 497 nt
Filed under: uncultured bacterium
Lineage: Bacteria
Description: partial 16S ribosomal RNA
Rfam family: Bacterial small subunit ribosomal RNA
Source: RNAcentral